CAAGUCUUGACAUCCCUCUGAAACCUCUAGAGAUAGAGGCGGCCUUCGGGACAGAGGUGACAGGUGGUGCAUGGUUGUCGUCAGCUCGUGUCGUGAGAUGUUGGGUUAAGUCCCGCAACGAGCGCAACCCUUGAUUUUAGUUGCCAGCACUUUGGGUGGGCACUCUAGAAUGACUGCCGGUGACAAACCGGAGGAAGGCGGGGAUGACGUCAAAUCAUCAUGCCCCUUAUGACUUGGGCUACACACGUACUACAAUGGCUGGUACAACGGGAAGCGAAGCCGCGAGGUGGAGCCAAUCCUAUAAAAGCCAGUCUCAGUUCGGAUUGCAGGCUGCAACUCGCCUGCAUGAAGUCGGAAUUGCUAGUAAUCGCGGAUCAGCAUGCCGCGGUGAAUACGUUCCC
This 401-nucleotide ribosomal RNA is filed under the name uncultured bacterium. Its description in RNAcentral is "bacterial SSU rRNA". It matches the Rfam family "Bacterial small subunit ribosomal RNA", at positions 975 to 1375 of the family's 1533-position model. The record is from RNAcentral.